This is a non-coding RNA of Lachnoclostridium sp. YL32, 83 nucleotides long. Lineage: Bacteria; Bacillati; Bacillota; Clostridia; Lachnospirales; Lachnospiraceae. The record is from Rfam.
GGGCAGGUAGCCUAGCGGCGAAGGCAGCUGACUGUAAAUCAGCCACGCAGGAAACAUCAAUGGUCCGAGUCCAUCUCUGCCCA